GAUGAACGCUGGCGGCGUGCCUAAUACAUGCAAGUCGAGCGAACAGAUGAGGAGCUUGCUCCUCUGACGUUAGCGGCGGACGGGUGAGUAACACGUGGAUAACCUACCUAUAAGACUGGGAUAACUUCGGGAAACCGGAGCUAAUACCGGAUAAUAUAUUGAACCGCAUGGUUCAAUAGUGAAAGACGGUUUUGCUGUCACUUAUAGAUGGAUCCGCGCCGCAUUAGCUAGUUGGUAAGGUAACGGCUUACCAAGGCAACGAUGCGUAGCCGACCUGAGAGGGGGAUCGGCCACACUGGAACGGAGACACGGUCCAGACUCCUACGGGAGGGAGCAGUAGGGAAUCUUCCGCAAUGGGCGGAAGCCUGACGGAGCAACGCCGCGUGAGUGAUGAAGGUCUUCGGAUCGUAAAACUCUGUUAUUAGGGAAGAACAAAUGUGUAAGUAACUAUGCACGUCUUGACGGUACCUAAUCAGAAAGCCACGGCUAACUACGUG
This 497-nucleotide ribosomal RNA is filed under the name uncultured bacterium. RNAcentral's name for it is "partial 16S ribosomal RNA". It matches the Rfam family "Bacterial small subunit ribosomal RNA", at positions 28 to 507 of the family's 1533-position model. The record is from RNAcentral.